RNAcentral lists this transfer RNA (72 nucleotides) under Lactobacillus sp. Its description in RNAcentral is "tRNA-Arg". It matches the Rfam family "tRNA". Rfam says of the family: Transfer RNA (tRNA) molecules are approximately 80 nucleotides in length. Their secondary structure includes four short double-helical elements and three loops (D, anti-codon, and T loops). Further hydrogen bonds mediate the characteristic L-shaped molecular structure. tRNAs have two regions of fundamental functional importance: the anti-codon, which is responsible for specific mRNA codon recognition, and the 3' end, to which the tRNAs corresponding amino acid is attached (by aminoacyl-tRNA synthetases). tRNAs cope with the degeneracy of the genetic code in two manners: having more than one tRNA (with a specific anti-codon) for a particular amino acid; and 'wobble' base-pairing, i.e. permitting non-standard base-pairing at the 3rd anti-codon position. Lineage: Bacteria; Bacillati; Bacillota; Bacilli; Lactobacillales; Lactobacillaceae. The record is from RNAcentral.
UGUGUGUUAGUUCAAUUGGCAGAGCAAUGCGUUACGGCCGCAAGGAUACAAGUUCGACUCUUGUACAUACAG